CAUCGUUUCUUUGGACAGUGUUCUUUUUCCCGGCCACUUGGGGGAAGCAACGGCCAACAGUGAACACAUUUCAACUCAUUACACUUGAUGUUGCCAACAAAUCCGUCGUUACGCAGCAUCAGCAUCAUUUAUUUGGAGACUGCCCACAAACACGUCCUGUGGAAAUGAGACAGUCCUAGUCUCUACAGUGACACAGGGAACCUCUUGACAACAGAACACGCUCACAAAUGAUCGAACACAUUUGCAGAUUAAUUGUCAAGUUAACAUCCACCAACUGAUCCAGCCAAUUCAAGGCAACAUCUCUAGAAUGAAAAAGAAAUGCAUGAGCAAAUCUUUACAGCGUUGAAGGGGAAACAGCACAAGAUGGACUGUACAGGCUUCCACGCUGGACAAGCAGUUUGUCAUAACAUUGGUUCCUCUACGCAUCUGUGCCCGGAUCGGUGAGAGACGAU
Long non-coding RNA from Gasterosteus aculeatus aculeatus (three-spined stickleback), 452 nucleotides. The record is from Ensembl. NCBI's taxonomy places the organism in Eukaryota, Metazoa, Chordata, Actinopteri, Perciformes, Gasterosteidae.